GGAUGAGCCUAUGUUAGAUUAGCUAGUUGGUAGGGUAAAGGCCUACCAAGGCAGUGAUCUAUAGCUGGUCUGAGAGGAUGAUCAGCCACACUGGAACUGAGAUACGGUCCAGACUCCUACGGGAGGCAGCAGUGGGGAAUAUUGGACAAUGGGCGCAAGCCUGAUCCAGCUAUGCCGCGUGAGUGAGGAAGGCCUUAGGGUUGUAAAACUCUUUCAGCGGGGAAGAUAAUGACGGUACCCGCAGAAGAAGUCCCGGCAAACUCCGUGCCAGCAGCCGCGGUAAUACGGAGGGGGCAAGCGUUGUUCGGAAUUAUU
RNAcentral lists this ribosomal RNA (315 nucleotides) under uncultured Anaplasma sp. Its description in RNAcentral is "bacterial SSU rRNA". It matches the Rfam family "Bacterial small subunit ribosomal RNA", at positions 223 to 555 of the family's 1533-position model. The record is from RNAcentral. Lineage: Bacteria; Pseudomonadati; Pseudomonadota; Alphaproteobacteria; Rickettsiales; Anaplasmataceae.